Molecule: long non-coding RNA, 631 nt
Organism: Mauremys mutica (yellowpond turtle)
Lineage: Eukaryota; Metazoa; Chordata; Testudines; Geoemydidae
Exons: 3
Source: RefSeq, a predicted model, not a curated record
CUUCCACUUCACCGACACAGAAUAUAUAUAAAAAAUCAACUUACGGGCACUGGAAAGGAGGUUCAAUAUGGGUGUGUAUGAUGUUAGUAAGGAAGAAAUCUGAAGAGACCAUUUUUCUAAAUCCUGAAAGAGAUUCUAUUAUCAGUCAAACCUGAAUGCUGCUGGAUGAUUUCCAAGGAUUUUGGGGAAAUUUCCAGCAAUCCUGUGUGAUUGGACAAUGAUAGGUCAGAUUACCUGCCUCUUUCAAUUCUCACAUCCAGCAUUAGAACUAUGUAUUGAGUUAGAGGACUAGCUUUUUUCUAUUUGAAAAUGUCUGUUUUCGAAAGUAAACUCUGUGGGAUGGACAGGGCCGGAUUUCUAAUUUGGCACAGUAGGCAUGUGCCUAGAGGGGCGGGCAUUCUGGGGGCACCUAAAAGUGGGUUAAAAGUUCCAUGUUAAUAUAGUAGAACCUCAGAGUUAUGGAAACCUCAGGUAUAGGCAGCAGUCUCAGGAGUCUCAGGGCUUCUGCACUGUGAGAGUACUGGGGCUCAGCACUUUAGACCUGGGGGGAGUGCUGGGGUUGGGGCAUCCGCUCCCAGUUUCACCCUUGCAGGGGAUGCCGGGGCUCAGGACUUCAGCCACAGCUCCACUC